This 253-nucleotide ribosomal RNA is filed under the name uncultured bacterium. RNAcentral describes it as "partial 16S ribosomal RNA". It matches the Rfam family "Bacterial small subunit ribosomal RNA", at positions 524 to 776 of the family's 1533-position model. The record is from RNAcentral.
UACGAAGGGGGCUAGCGUUGCUCGGAAUCACUGGGCGUAAGGGGCGCGUAGGCGGCCGAUCAAGUCAGGGGUGAAAGCCUGUGGCUCAACCACAGAAUUGCCUUUGAUACUGUUUGGCUCGAGACCGGAAGAGGUUGGUGGAACUGCGAGUGUAGAGGUGAAAUUCGUAGAUAUUCGCAAGAACACCAGUGGCGAAGGCGGCCAACUGGUCUGGUUCUGACGCUGAGGCGCGAAAGCGUGGGGAGCGAACAGG